AUGGCAUCCUUAGUUCCCCCCACCGUCCCCGAGGCCAGUUUCUGUAUGCAGCGAGUGCAUCAGGAGCCAGCUCCGAUUUGGGGACUUGGCCACCACUGUCGCUGUCAGGUGGCUUGGCUGGAACCUGAUCUCACGGCUGGUUCCAGCACUGUCUCUCCACGUCACUUGCACUUAUGCCUUAUGAAACUGAUUCCUACUCUACCUCCACCCACUUCCUGUUCUGAUCCAAUACUAGCCAGGGUAUUUCAUUUUCUAGUUGUCUAAAUCAAAGUGGCAAGUAAUAUUUACUAAUAAUUGUAUCUUAUUUGCA
Molecule: long non-coding RNA, 310 nt
Filed under: Homo sapiens (human)
Lineage: Eukaryota; Metazoa; Chordata; Mammalia; Primates; Hominidae
Description: non-protein coding lnc-ITGB3BP-12:1
Source: RNAcentral